Callithrix jacchus (white-tufted-ear marmoset) is the source of this 494-nucleotide long non-coding RNA. RefSeq annotates it as long intergenic non-protein coding RNA 2991. NCBI's taxonomy places the organism in Eukaryota, Metazoa, Chordata, Mammalia, Primates, Cebidae. The record is from RefSeq and is a predicted model, not a curated record.
AUGGAAUGGGCUUGCAUGAUUACAGAGGCGGAGGGUCCCACACCCGGUCGUCUGCAAGCUGGAGAGCCAGGAGAGCCUGUGCUUCCGCCCUAGGCAGAGUCUGGAGGCCCAAGAUCCUCGAGGGCCGAUGCCAGCACAGCUCCAGCCUGAGAGCAGGUGAGUGUUCCAGCUCCAGCAGGCAGGCAGCCGGAGAGUUCUGACGCCACCUUUUCGUUCUACUCAGGACUUCAAUAGGUUGGAUGAGGCCCAUCCACAUUGCGAGGGCGUGUGCGUCACUGAGUCUACUGUCACACGCUUCUCUUGGGUACCGUCCGAUUGCAGAGAUGCUGUGCUCUGGAAGGGUCCUGCGCCACUCAGCGUGCUGCUGGCAUGUCUGCCUGGUCCGGCCCUGCACCCCUGAGGAGGAGGCUCUGACUCUGGGUUCAGUGAGCAAGGUUAUUUGGCCCCCACACUAAGCUAAGUCUCUCACCUUGGCAUUUAUUAGGAGGAAGUGA